Molecule: ribosomal RNA, 120 nt
Filed under: Uromastyx aegyptia microlepis
Lineage: Eukaryota; Metazoa; Chordata; Lepidosauria; Squamata; Agamidae
Description: partial 18S rRNA
Rfam family: Eukaryotic small subunit ribosomal RNA
Source: RNAcentral
AAUUCCGAUAACGAACGAGACUCUGGCAUGCUAACUAGUUAUGCGACCCCCGAGCGGUCGGCGUCCAACUUCUUAGAGGGACAAGUGGCGUUCAGCCACCCGAGAUUGAGCAAUAACAGG